RNAcentral lists this ribosomal RNA (496 nucleotides) under uncultured Nocardiaceae bacterium. Its description in RNAcentral is "bacterial SSU rRNA". It matches the Rfam family "Bacterial small subunit ribosomal RNA", at positions 1 to 507 of the family's 1533-position model. Lineage: Bacteria; Bacillati; Actinomycetota; Actinomycetes; Mycobacteriales; Nocardiaceae. The record is from RNAcentral.
CGUUACUCAGUAGUAGUUUGACUCCGUGGCUACAGGACGACGCUGGCGGCGUGCUUAACACAUGCAAGUCGAGCGUAAGGCCUUUCGGGGUACACGAGCGGCGAACGGGUGAGUAACACGUGGGUGAUCUGCCCUGCACUCUGGGAUAAGCCUGGGAAACUGGGUCUAAUACUGGAUAUGACCUCAGCAUGCAUGUGCUGGGGUGGAAAGCUUUUGUGGUGCAGGAUGGGCCUGCGGCCUAUCAGCUUGUUGGUGGGGUAAUGGGCCUACCAAGGCGACGACGGGUAGCCGACCUGAGAGGGUGACCGGCCACACUGGGACUGAGACACGGCCCAGGCUCCUACGGGAGGCAGCAGUGGGGAAUAUUGCACAAUGGGCGGAAGCCUGAUGCAGCGACGCCGCGUGAGGGAUGAAGGCCUUCGGGUUGUAAACCUCUUUCAGCAGGGACGAAGCGUGAGUGACGGUACCUGCAGAAGAAGCACCGGCUAACUACGUG